Molecule: ribosomal RNA, 1692 nt
Filed under: human gut metagenome
Description: bacterial LSU rRNA
Rfam family: Bacterial large subunit ribosomal RNA
Source: RNAcentral
UCCAAUCGAACUCGGAGAUAGCUGGUUCUCCUCGAAAUAGCUUUAGGGCUAGCCUCGAGCUGGAGUCUAACGGAGGUAAAGCACUGAACUGACGCGGGGCCCAAAAAGGUUACCAACUCAUAUCAAACUAAGAAUGCCGUCAAGAUACCCUCGGGAGUCAGUCUGCGUGAGAUAAGUCGCGUGGACAAAAGGGAAAGAGCCCAGACCGACAGCUAAGGUCCCAAAGUACGUGUUAAGUGGAAAAGGAUGUGGGAUUUCAUAGACAACUAGGAUGUUGGCUUAGAAGCAGCCAUACAUUUAAAGAGUGCGUAAUAGCUCACUAGUCGAGAAAACCUGCGCCGAAAAUGUAACGGGGCUAAAACACGACACCGAAGCUACGGAUUUCCUACAAGGUAGGAAGUGGUAGAGGAGCAUCCUGCAAGGACGAAGCCAAAGUGAGAGCGAUGGUGGACGAAACAGGAGAGAGAAUGCCGGAAUGAGUAGCGAGAUACAUGUGAGAAACAUGUAGGCCGAAUAUCUAAGGAUUCCUGGGUAAAGCUAAUCUUCCCAGGGUUAGUCGGGGCCUAAGGCGAGGACGAAAGUCGUAGUCGAUGGAUAACAGGUUGAUAUUCCUGUACUACACAUAAUCAGAACUGUGGGGACGCAGGAGGAUAGGGAAACCGGGGAAUGGAAAGACCCGGUCAAGCGUAAAGCUGUGGGAGAUAGGCAAAUCCGUCUCCUGUAAGUGAAACGUGAUGAGGACUGAAAAAAAGUAAGGAAGUUUCCGAAUCCACACUGCCGAGAAAAGCCGCUAUUGCGUUAUGUGUACCCGUACCGUAAACCGACACAGGUAGAUGAGGAGAAAAUCCACAGGCCGACGGGAGAAGUGUUGUUAAGGAACUCGGCAAAAUGACCCCGUAACUUCGGGAUAAGGGGAGCCUCGCAAGAGGCCGCAGAAAAGAGGCACAAGCAACUGUUUAGCAAAAACAUAGGUCUAUGCGAAACCGUAAGGUGAAGUAUAUGGGCUGACGCCUGCCCGGUGCUGGAAGGUUAAAAGGAGAGGUCAGCGCAAGCGAAGCUUUGAAUUCAAGCCCCAGUAAACGGCGGCCGUAACUAUAACGGUCCUAAGGUAGCGAAAUUCCUUGUCAGGUAAGUUCUGACCCGCACGAAAGGCGUAAUGAUUUGUGCACUGUCUCGACAACACGCCCGGUGAAAUUGAAGAACCAGUGAAGAUACUGGUUACCCGCAACAGGACGGAAAGACCCCAUGGAGCUUUACUGCAGCCUGAUACUGGGAUUCGAUGAUAUAUGUACAGGAUAGGUGGGAGGCUAAGAAGCGAGAACGCUAGUUUUCGUGGAGCCGCCGGUGGGAUACCACUCUUAUGUCAUUGAAUUUCUAACCUGCAUCCGUAAUCCGGGUGAGGGACAAUGUCAGGCGGGCAGUUUGACUGGGGCGGUCGCCUCCUAAAAGGUAACGGAGGCGCUCGAAGGUCACCUCAGAAUGAUUGGAAACCAUUCAAAGAGUGUAAAGGCAAAAGGUGGCUUGACUGCGAGAGCGACGGCUCGAGCAGGUACGAAAGUAGGACUUAGUGAUCCGGUGGUAAUAAGUGGGAAUGCCAUCGCUCAACGGAUAAAAGCUACCCUGGGGAUAACAGGCUUAUCUCCCCCAAGAGUUCACAUCGACGGGGAGGUUUGGCACCUCGAUGUCGGCUCA